AAUAGCCCAGUCCCAUUGUCCACCCAAACUUCAAUCUAUAGACCGGUAUACUGUUCACUUUUUCUACAAUAGUCCCAAUGCCUGCUGAGACCGGUUCAUGGGUGUCUAUUGUUGCACCUGUGAACGGCUCUCCAAGGGGCCUCUACGUGUUGGAUCUAUAUCCCCACGCAAGCCUAUCAAAAGACCGGGAUUUAUAGGCCCGUGAAAUCCAAAA
Molecule: long non-coding RNA, 214 nt
Organism: Cydia splendana
Lineage: Eukaryota; Metazoa; Arthropoda; Insecta; Lepidoptera; Tortricidae
Exons: 2
Source: RefSeq, a predicted model, not a curated record